Molecule: ribosomal RNA, 305 nt
Filed under: uncultured bacterium
Lineage: Bacteria
Description: bacterial SSU rRNA
Rfam family: Bacterial small subunit ribosomal RNA
Source: RNAcentral
CCUACGGGGCGCAGCAGUGAGGAAUAUUGGUCAAUGGGCGAGAGCCUGAACCAGCCAAGUCGCGUGAGGGAAGACGGUCCUAUGGAUUGUAAACCUCUUUUGUCAGGGAGCAACGCCGGCUACGUGUAGCCGGACUGAGAGUACCUGAAGAAAAAGCAUCGGCUAACUCCGUGCCAGCAGACGCGGUAAUACGGAGGAUGCGAGCGUUAUCCGGAUUUAUUGGGGUUAAAGGGUGCGUAGGCGGAAUGCCAAGUCAGCGGUAAAAUCGCGGGGCUCAACCUCGCUCCGCCGUUGAAACUGGCGGU